UACGUAGGGGGCGAGCGUUGUCCGGAGUUACUGGGCGUAAAGGGCACGCAGGCGGUGCGGCGCGUUUCGCGUGACAGCGGAGGGCUUAACUCUCCGAGGAUGCGAAAGACGGCGGCACUUGAGGGCCAGAGAGGGACACGGAAUUCAGGGUGGAGUGGUGAAAUGCGUAGAGAUCCGGAGGAACACCGAAGGCGAAGGCAGUGUCCUGGCUGGUGACUGACGCUGAGGUGCGAAAGCUAGGGGAGCGAACGGG
RNAcentral lists this ribosomal RNA (253 nucleotides) under uncultured bacterium. RNAcentral describes it as "partial 16S ribosomal RNA". It matches the Rfam family "Bacterial small subunit ribosomal RNA", at positions 524 to 776 of the family's 1533-position model. The record is from RNAcentral.